GAUGAACGCUGGCGGCGUGCCUAAUACAUGCCAGUCGAGCGAACGGACGAGAAGCUUGCUUCUCUGAUGUUAGCGGCGGACGGGUGAGUAACACGUGGAUAACCUACCUAUAAGACUGGGAUAACUUCGGGAAACCGGAGCUAAUACCGGAUAAUAUUUUGAACCGCAUGGUUCAAAAGUGAAAGACGGUCUUGCUGUCACUUAUAGAUGGAUCCGCGCUGCAUUAGCUAGUUGGUAAGGUAACGGCUUACCAAGGCAACGAUGCAUAGCCGACCUGAGAGGGUGAUCGGCCACACUGGAACUGGGACACGGUCCAGACUCCUACGGGAGGCAGCAGUAGGGAAUCUUCCGCAAUGGGCGAAAGCCUGACGGAGCAACGCCGCGUGAGUGAUGAAGGUCUUCGGAUCGUAAAACUCUGUUAUUAGGGAAGAACAUAUGUGUAAGUAACUGUGCACAUCUUGACGGUACCUAAUCAGAAAGCCACGGCUAACUACGUG
This 497-nucleotide ribosomal RNA is filed under the name uncultured bacterium. RNAcentral describes it as "partial 16S ribosomal RNA". It matches the Rfam family "Bacterial small subunit ribosomal RNA", at positions 28 to 507 of the family's 1533-position model. The record is from RNAcentral.